GGUCUAUUAGUCUAGUUGGUUAGGACGUCGGAUUCUGAUUCCGUAGGCCCAGGUUCGAAUCCUGGAUGGACCUUA
RNAcentral lists this transfer RNA (75 nucleotides) under Colletotrichum liriopes. RNAcentral describes it as "tRNA-Gln". It matches the Rfam family "tRNA". From Rfam's summary of the family: Transfer RNA (tRNA) molecules are approximately 80 nucleotides in length. Their secondary structure includes four short double-helical elements and three loops (D, anti-codon, and T loops). The record is from RNAcentral. Lineage: Eukaryota; Fungi; Ascomycota; Sordariomycetes; Glomerellales; Glomerellaceae.